This 1323-nucleotide unclassified non-coding RNA is filed under the name Hevea brasiliensis (rubber tree). The record is from RNAcentral. Lineage: Eukaryota; Viridiplantae; Streptophyta; Magnoliopsida; Malpighiales; Euphorbiaceae.
GCCGCUACUUGCAAUAAUUGCGUGAACUCGGGUUGGGAUUCUCUUCUUCUUUGUCCCAAUUUCUCUUUCGAUUAUUCAAAUCAAGCCCUAACCCUAGUUACCAGCCAUGUCUUCUAAGCAAGGUGGAAAAGCAAAGCCCUUGAAACAAGGCAAGGUUGAGAAGAAGGAAUACGAUGAGGUAUUAGUUUUAAUAAUUUUGGUUCAGUUUUGAUAAGUUGUUUUUUUAUAUUACCCUGUGCAUUGUUUAGCUUGGUUUUGUAUAGGUUUUUAUUGAUCAGCAAUGCGUAUUUCCGAGUUCAAAUUUCUUGGAUUUGAUUUGGUUUGGUUUUCUUAUUGGAAUUGAUCCAUAAAUCCAACAUUAGGGAAACUUUAUUAGUUGCUUUAUUAAUGGAAAAUUUGAACUGCAAUAAAGUUAUUUUGUCAGGUUACUAUCCAUUCCUUUGGCUUACGGUUGCUAGGAAAUUUGUGAGCUUUCUUAGUGAAAAUGAUGCGAUGCAGAUUGGCUUCUUAUUGGAAUUGAUUCUUCAAGAGUUUUAGGAAAUCUCGUCAGACAUUGUAUGAAUUGUGUGGAUUUUGAUUUUGCCAAAAUCCCAAUUAGAUUCAAAGCCAAGAAUUCUUUUAGUUGAUGUAUGACAUUUAAUCCUUGUUAUUUAAAAAUCCACCACGUGACAUGUUAGAGUUGGUACCAGAAGCCAGCUAUUUGGGUGAUUUCUUUAAAUUUGUUUCUUUGGGAUGGGGUUGUUUGAAUGCCAUACUGUCAAGUAAGCUUCAAACAAGAGAAAUGGAUUUGGUCUCUCUCAAAAUUCUUCCAUCCAAAAAAAUCAUCUGACUUGUGUAGAGCCCAACAUAUUUAUGAGGUUUUUUUUUUUUUUUCCCUUCCUCUUUUGUGUGUGUGCUCUUAUCUGGUCUACCUUUUUUUUUUGUGUGUAUUUAUGCAUUUCUUUUAUGGAAUUGAGAUGUCUUGAUUUGAUUUUCAUUAGUUUAUGUUUGAACUAUGGCCGUGGGGCUGUUUGUUUGGGAUGAAAUUCCAUACACUUUGCUAAUAGUGUUUAUCAUAAUAGGGAUUCAAUUUUCAUAAACGCUUGAUCUGUUCUUGUUUCAAGCAUAUGUGGUUGUGCUGCAAGAUGAUUUCUUUUAGUCUUCAUCUUACUAGUUUCACAUUUAUGUAAUUAAUAAAUGAACACUUUUAUUUGGUUGUAAGGGUUACAUUUGCAUCAAGCAAGUUAACUAUUCUAUAAAUUUUUUAUUGUACCUUGUGACAACACUCAAUUCUUCUGUGCCUUCUUUUAUGAAGUUUGUGCUAAAGGUUUUAUAAUCUAUUUG